RNAcentral lists this ribosomal RNA (274 nucleotides) under uncultured bacterium. RNAcentral describes it as "partial 16S ribosomal RNA". It matches the Rfam family "Bacterial small subunit ribosomal RNA", at positions 523 to 796 of the family's 1533-position model. The record is from RNAcentral.
AUACGAAGGGUGCGAGCGUUAAUCGGAAUUACUGGGCGUAAAGCGCGCGUAGGCGGUUGGAUAAGUCGGAUGUGAAAGCCCCGGGCUCAACCUGGGAAUUGCAUUCGAAACUGUCCGGCUAGAGUAUGGUAGAGGGAAGCGGAAUUCCACAUGUAGCGGUGAAAGGCGUAGAUAUGUGGAGGAACACCAGUGGCGAAGGCGGCUUCCUGGACCAAUACUGACGCUGAGGUGCGAAAGCGUGGGGAGCAAACAGGAUUAGAAACCCUAGUAGUCC